UAAGCGACUAAGCGUACACGGUGGAUGCCCUGGCAGUCAGAGGCGAUGAAGGACGUGCUAAUCUGCGAUAAGCGUCGGUAAGGUGAUAUGAACCGUUAUAACCGGCGAUUUCCGAAUGGGGAAACCCAGUGUGUUUCGUCACACUAUCAUUAACUGAAUCCAUAGGUUAAUGAGGCGAACCGGGGGAACUGAAACAUCUAAGUACCCCGAGGAAAAGAAAUCAACCGAGAUUCCCCCAGUAGCGGCGAGCGAACGGGGAGCAGCCCAGAGCCUGAAUCAGUGUGUGUGUUAGUGGAAGCGUCUGGAAAGGCGCGCGAUACAGGGUGACAGCCCCGUACACAAAAAUGCACAUGCUGUGAGCUCGAUGAGUAGGGCGGGACACGUGGUAUCCUGUCUGAAUAUGGGGGGACCAUCCUCCAAGGCUAAAUACUCCUGACUGACCGAUAGUGAACCAGUACCGUGAGGGAAAGGCGAAAAGAACCCCGGCGAGGGGAGUGAAAAAGAACCUGAAACCGUGUACGUACAAGCAGUGGGAGCACGCUUAGGCGUGUGACUGCGUACCUUUUGUAUAAUGGGUCAGCGACUUAUAUUCUGUAGCAAGGUUAACCGAAUAGGGGAGCCGAAGGGAAACCGAGUCUUAACUGGGCGUUAAGUUGCAGGGUAUAGACCCGAAACCCGGUGAUCUAGCCAUGGGCAGGUUGAAGGUUGGGUAACACUAACUGGAGGACCGAACCGACUAAUGUUGAAAAAUUAGCGGAUGACUUGUGGCUGGGGGUGAAAGGCCAAUCAAACCGGGAGAUAGCUGGUUCUCCCCGAAAGCUAUUUAGGUAGCGCCUCGUGAAUUCAUCUCCGGGGGUAGAGCACUGUUUCGGCAAGGGGGUCAUCCCGACUUACCAACCCGAUGCAAACUGCGAAUACCGGAGAAUGUUAUCACGGGAGACACACGGCGGGUGCUAACGUCCGUCGUGAAGAGGGAAACAACCCAGACCGCCAGCUAAGGUCCCAAAGUCAUGGUUAAGUGGGAAACGAUGUGGGAAGGCCCAGACAGCCAGGAUGUUGGCUUAGAAGCAGCCAUCAUUUAAAGAAAGCGUAAUAGCUCACUGGUCGAGUCGGCCUGCGCGGAAGAUGUAACGGGGCUAAACCAUGCACCGAAGCUGCGGCAGCGACGCUGAUGCGUUGUUGGGUAGGGGAGCGUUCUGUAAGCCUGUGAAGGUGUGCUGUGAGGCAUGCUGGAGGUAUCAGAAGUGCGAAUGCUGACAUAAGUAACGAUAAAGCGGGUGAAAAGCCCGCUCGCCGGAAGACCAAGGGUUCCUGUCCAACGUUAAUCGGGGCAGGGUGAGUCGACCCCUAAGGCGAGGCCGAAAGGCGUAGUCGAUGGGAAACAGGUUAAUAUUCCUGUACUUGGUGUUACUGCGAAGGGGGGACGGAGAAGGCUAUGUUGGCCGGGCGACGGUUGUCCCGGUUUAAGCGUGUAGGCUGGUUUUCCAGGCAAAUCCGGAAAACUAAGGCUGAGGCGUGAUGACGAGGCACUACGGUGCUGAAGCAACAAAUGCCCUGCUUCCAGGAAAAGCCUCUAAGCAUCAGGUAACAUCAAAUCGUACCCCAAACCGACACAGGUGGUCAGGUAGAGAAUACCAAGGCGCUUGAGAGAACUCGGGUGAAGGAACUAGGCAAAAUGGUGCCGUAACUUCGGGAGAAGGCACGCUGAUAUGUAGGUGAAGUCCCUCGCGGAUGGAGCUGAAAUCAGUCGAAGAUACCAGCUGGCUGCAACUGUUUAUUAAAAACACAGCACUGUGCAAACACGAAAGUGGACGUAUACGGUGUGACGCCUGCCCGGUGCCGGAAGGUUAAUUGAUGGGGUUAGCGCAAGCGAAGCUCUUGAUCGAAGCCCCGGUAAACGGCGGCCGUAACUAUAACGGUCCUAAGGUAGCGAAAUUCCUUGUCGGGUAAGUUCCGACCUGCACGAAUGGCGUAAUGAUGGCCAGGCUGUCUCCACCCGAGACUCAGUGAAAUUGAACUCGCUGUGAAGAUGCAGUGUACCCGCGGCAAGACGGAAAGACCCCGUGAACCUUUACUAUAGCUUGACACUGAACAUUGAGCCUUGAUGUGUAGGAUAGGUGGGAGGCUUUGAAGUGUGGACGCCAGUCUGCAUGGAGCCGACCUUGAAAUACCACCCUUUAAUGUUUGAUGUUCUAACGUUGACCCGUAAUCCGGGUUGCGGACAGUGUCUGGUGGGUAGUUUGACUGGGGCGGUCUCCUCCUAAAGAGUAACGGAGGAGCACGAAGGUUGGCUAAUCCUGGUCGGACAUCAGGAGGUUAGUGCAAUGGCAUAAGCCAGCUUGACUGCGAGCGUGACGGCGCGAGCAGGUGCGAAAGCAGGUCAUAGUGAUCCGGUGGUUCUGAAUGGAAGGGCCAUCGCUCAACGGAUAAAAGGUACUCCGGGGAUAACAGGCUGAUACCGCCCAAGAGUUCAUAUCGACGGCGGUGUUUGGCACCUCGAUGUCGGCUCAUCACAUCCUGGGGCUGAAGUAGGUCCCAAGGGUAUGGCUGUUCGCCAUUUAAAGUGGUACGCGAGCUGGGUUUAGAACGUCGUGAGACAGUUCGGUCCCUAUCUGCCGUGGGCGCUGGAGAACUGAGGGGGGCUGCUCCUAGUACGAGAGGACCGGAGUGGACGCAUCACUGGUGUUCGGGUUGUCAUGCCAAUGGCACUGCCCGGUAGCUAAAUGCGGAAGAGAUAAGUGCUGAAAGCAUCUAAGCACGAAACUUGCCCCGAGAUGAGUUCUCCCUGACUCCUUGAGAGUCCUGAAGGAACGUUGAAGACGACGACGUUGAUAGGCCGGGUGUGUAAGCGCAGCGAUGCGUUGAGCUAACCGGUACUAAUGAACCGUGAGGCUUAACCU
RNAcentral lists this ribosomal RNA (2900 nucleotides) under Escherichia coli DEC10D. RNAcentral's name for it is "bacterial LSU rRNA". It matches the Rfam family "Bacterial large subunit ribosomal RNA". Lineage: Bacteria; Pseudomonadati; Pseudomonadota; Gammaproteobacteria; Enterobacterales; Enterobacteriaceae. The record is from RNAcentral.